Molecule: long non-coding RNA, 233 nt
Filed under: Physcomitrium patens
Lineage: Eukaryota; Viridiplantae; Streptophyta; Bryopsida; Funariales; Funariaceae
Description: long non-coding RNA (PPAT_LNC001467)
Source: RNAcentral
AUAACUCCUUCCCUCAUUUGCUAAUUAUUUGCAAUAAUUAUCAAAUUUAUUGUCUAUCCUUACAUACGUGUGCAUCAAUACCAUGAUUCAAUCCAACUUCUUCCAUUAGUUUCCUCUUUUGUUUAAUACUUUCAAUAAUGACAUCAUAAAAUUCUUUUUUAGAAAUUUUUAAAAUCUUCUUUAAUGUAAAUUCAACCUUAGCAUUGAAUAUAUGUUCUUUAAGCACUCCCUUU